GUAAUACGAAGGGGGCUAGCGUUGUUCGGAUUUACUGGGCGUAAAGCGCAUGUAGGCGGAUAUUUAAGUCAGAGGUGAAAUCCCAGGGCUCAACCCUGGAACUGCCUUUGAUACUGGGUAUCUUGAGUAUGGAAGAGGUGAGUGGAAUUCCGAGUGUAGAGGUAAAAUUCGUAGAUAUUCGGAGGAACACCAGUGGCGAAGGCGGCUCACUGGUCCAUUACUGACGCUGAGGUGCGAAAGCGUGGGGAGCAAA
This 253-nucleotide ribosomal RNA is filed under the name Bartonella melophagi. RNAcentral's name for it is "partial 16S ribosomal RNA". It matches the Rfam family "Bacterial small subunit ribosomal RNA", at positions 520 to 772 of the family's 1533-position model. The record is from RNAcentral. Lineage: Bacteria; Pseudomonadati; Pseudomonadota; Alphaproteobacteria; Hyphomicrobiales; Bartonellaceae.